AGUACUUCCCAAGCCACAGGACGGAGUGUGGGAGCGAAGCCCCUUCAUCAAAGCACCAGAAAGAUGUCAGCAGAAAAACAAACAGAUGGAACUUCGGACAGCCAAAUCCAGUGAGGUGUGAGCUAACCUCCCCACCCAGUCAUGUGCUUACACAUGGGAACAAAACCCAAGAGGGUGGCCAGCCUUCAGCCCAGUGCCCAGGGAUGAAACAUGGCCCAAGAAAUAACACCACCACCAUCAGCUGUCCAUGCUUCCACCUCAAGCACUGAGCAAGAUCCUCUGGCAAAUGACCUCACUGGGAGGUAAAGAGGAAAGCGCUAUUGUCAACUCCAUUCUUCAGUGGAAGACUCAGAGAUGGAUUUUGACUCUGGACUAGAAGAUGAUGACACAAAAAGUGAUAGUAUUUUGGAGGGUUCCACAAUGUUUAUGGCCUUCAAAGGAAAUACAGAGGAUAAAUGUGCCCAAUUUGUUACACAUGG
RNAcentral lists this long non-coding RNA (479 nucleotides) under Homo sapiens (human). RNAcentral's name for it is "non-protein coding lnc-PKP4-1:2". The record is from RNAcentral. Lineage: Eukaryota; Metazoa; Chordata; Mammalia; Primates; Hominidae.